UUUGUGGUCGUACUAAGUGCCUUUGACA
RNAcentral lists this small RNA (28 nucleotides) under Bombyx mori (domestic silkworm). RNAcentral describes it as "ovarian small RNA-250". The record is from RNAcentral. Lineage: Eukaryota; Metazoa; Arthropoda; Insecta; Lepidoptera; Bombycidae.